CCAUCCGUCCAUCCAUCCGUUUUCUGAGGCACUUAUCCCACACAGGGUCGCGGGGAACCCGGAGUCUAUCCUGGGGGACACCCUGGAUGGGAGGCAGGAUUCGAACCCCCAACCCUGGAGGUGCGAGGCAGUCACUGUGCCAGCACCAGGUGGAAAGAGGUUAGGAAAUUAGGCAAAAAAAAAAAAAUGGAAGCACUUACCUGGUCCACAUCUCCAUCUCUGGGAGUCUCAUCUACUUCCACUUCACUGUUGUGGUUGCCUCUCUCAUCUCUCACAGUUUCAGUGACCUUUGAACUUGUCUGCACAUGGCAGUCAUUUGUGACAACCUUUGACCCUGGGAACUCUGGUGGUUGCUUUUUGACCAUCAGUGGCCAAGUAGAUUUGCUGUCAGAGUCUGAAAUGGUUGUAGACAUGGUUGCUCUUGCCUGAGUAGCGGAUCCACGGUUCUUCUUGACUCCAUCGUCACCUUGCUCUCUCCUGUUGGCUGCUCUACUUCUCGUGAUCAGGGGAUUUUUCUCGCAGCUUUGAUCAGUGUUCACUGGUCUUGGAGCGGAAGUGGCCCUUGAGAUGACUUUAGGUUUGACAUCCUUCAGAUUAGGUCUAGAAAACCGUUUUAGCUCCAUUUUGGUGGAUUUGGUUUUAGGGGGUUCCAUGGCAGACGUGGUGUGAGAUAUAUCUGAAGGAUCAUUGGUAUUUUGUGAGGUGUUUCUUUUAGGAAAACAUGGAGGAUCUUUGAUGUUCUGGAUGGAUGAAGAUGAAGGAGCACCUUGGGAAACCGAAGGCAACAUUGUCUGAUUGAGGACUAAUUCUGCAGGUGGUUGAGCUGGAGAUUUCUCAGCGGAAAGGUCAACAGUUGCCUGCACAGUCUCCUGGUGGGUCUCGGUCACAAGAUCCACAUUGGGCCUCUGGGCUGAGGUCUGGAUCUGGAUCUCCUCAUCCUGAAGCUCCACUGACUCCUGAAGAACCUCCAGACUCACAGAGCCCACAUUAAGACUCCUGUCUGAGCACUGCAUCUGCUCCUCCUUCUUGUGAAGCUCUACAGGCUCCUGAUGAGCCUUCUGGUGAAGCUCACUCCCAAGAUCCACCUCAGUCCAAUUGGUUGAUCUCUGCAUCUUGCUUUCUUCAUUGUAAAACACCUGAGAAGCCUCCUGGUGGAGCUCACUCACAAGGCCCACAGUGGGACUGUGGUUUGAGCUGCACAUCUGGACUUCCUCAGACUCGCUUCGUUUACUCAUUACUACAUCAGAAGACCUCAGAGACAGAAAAGAAUCGUCUUCUUCAUCCUCAUCCUCAGAAGACAACAGCUGUGCCUCUGUAGCUGAAGAGUCAACCGAGCCUCGUCUUCCUCGCUCUCCAUCAACACCAGCAUCGCUGAAGACAUUGUCAUUCUCAUGAUUUUGAAUUAUUGUAUUAUCAUACUCUUCUUCAUUGGCAUCUAAAUAAACAGAAACCGAGUUGUCAUUCUCAUCGGGUCUGCAAUCUGGGCUCUGGAUCCCUGAGUCAUCUUCACUGGCGGCUGCUUUCCUUCCCAUCAUGCCCUCUGGCAAUUCCACGUCCAGACUACUAAGACUGUAUGUGGAGUCCGGUGAUGAUGAUGCUGACGACGCUGAUGACGCCGAUGAGGAUUUGAGGAAAUUGUUGUUGUUGUGCAACUGUAGGCACAUGCUUUGGUGGACCCCAUCCUGGGGCUUCAUGGGUAGAGCAGAUGGAGGAAGCUCACUCAUGUUUCCAUUCAAACACAACAAUACCAGUCAGAGAUUAGCCAGCUAGCACUGUCACAUGUCCAAUAGUCCCUCUGGACAUGACACUCUUAGAUAAAACCCACUUGGGGGACAAUUCGAAAGAUUGUAGCAUUCUGGCGUUUGUUGGAAGCCCAUCUGAUCCUUAACAAGGGACCUAAAAGAAGGAAAAGAAAGCUGUUUACUAACACCAAACACAUUAAAGACCAGACAGAAUCUUCUCAUGUUCCUUAUAUUUAGACAUUAUUAAUAAGUGUUUAUGCUAGCUUCAUUCGCAAUAAGAAUCAUCAGAAGUUCCUGGUCUAAAAGGUGCAAAUGAAAGGAAUUAUGGGUGGAGCUUAGGAAGCCAUUGUGGUUGCCAUUUUGAGCCUAAAGAAUCAAUAAAGGUUAUGAAAAGAAUCAAAGAAUUGAACUACUAAAGGGAGUCAAAAGAAUCACUAAUGCAAGCUAAAGGAAUCAAAUAACUUACAUGAUCCAAAAGAGUCAAGUCUUUAGUGAGCCAAAAUAAUCGAAUCACUCGUGUGAGCCUAAGGAAUCAAGGCAAAAAAAGUAAUGUAAGCUAGCAAAAACUAAUUACUAAUGUGAGGCAAAAGAAUCGGAUCACUGUGAAGUUAAGAAUCAUGUGAGCCAAAAUAAACGAAUCAUUAAAGUGAGCUGAAUUAGUUUUAGCCCAAAGAAUCAAAUUAUUAAUGUGGGCCAAAAUAAUCGAAUCACUAAUGUCAGCCAAAUGAAGACUGGGAAGUGCGUGUGUGUGUGUGUGCGCGUGCGUGCGCGCGUGUGUGUGUACUGCUGCCCUCUACUGGUCUAACUCAAACACUCAAUAGUCAUAUCUUCCUUGGCCUAAAUGUAGAUGUCCUCAACAAACAUCCAAGUCUAAUAACCUCCACAUACACAUCUGGUGAAGGCCACGCCUUUAACCACACCUGUCCAUCAAAUCGCUCCAGCUAAUGUGGGUCAGAACGAAGCUAUUAAAAGGUGUGCCACUUUUAUCUUAAUAAUCAGGGCAGAAUUUCUCUGUCUCGUGCCUGAUACAGAGGCCACAAGAAAUACUGGCCUUGUGUUGAGAAAGAGAGAGAAUAAAGAGAGAGGCCGAUGGGGGAAUCACUUAAAUUGCAAAUGAGAAUAAUUAUAAGUUUGAUAGCCAAUUUCCAAUUCCAAAGAAUCACUUACGGAGCCGAAAGAAUCAAAUCACUAAUGUUACAAAUCACAAAUGUAAGCCAAACGUAUUACAUUACUAACACGAGCCAAAAGAAUCAAAUCACUGAUUGAAUCAUUAAUCUAAGAUCAGAAUCAAAUACUAAUGUGAGUCAAAAAUAUCAAAUCACUCUGAGUCAAAAGAAUCAAAUACUAAUGUGAGUCAAACAUAUCGAAUCACUGAGUUAAUCACUAAUUCUAAGAUCAAAUCAAAUACUAAUGUAAAUCAAACAUAACAAAUCUCUCUGAGCCAAAAGAAUCAAAUACUAAAGCGAGUCAAAAGUAUCGAAUAACUCUGAGACAAAAGAAUCAAAUCACUGAUUUAAUCACGAAUGUAAGGUCAGAAUCAAAUACUAAUGUGAGUCAAAAGUAUCGAAUCACUGAGUCAAAAGAAUCAAAUCACUGAUUUAAUCACGAAUGUAAGGUCAGAAUCAAAUACUAAUGUGAGUCAAAUGUAUCUAAUCACUUAUGGGAGCCAAAAGAAUUCAAUUACUAACAAAAGCUAAAACAAUCCACUUAUUCGCACCAGGUUGCAUCACAACACCCAGUUGUUGAUUAUUUUCCUAACAUCAUUUUUUUUAUUCCUUACAUAAUAUAUUCUUUCCCAGCCCAUGUGUUACAUAAUAAAUCUAAGUUACUGAAUAUAAGAUUUUAGAUAAUAAAACAUUGUAUACAUAUAAUGCAGUAUAAAUAAUAUAAACAAAAGCGAAGUGAUGAACGUGUGCACGUCAGCGUCGUCAUCUUCGUAUUUCAGGUGCAGUCGCAGCUCUUUAAUCCGAUCAAUGAGUUUCCCAGAAAAGGGAUAUAGAUACAGAGUUGUGGCGCGCACAAGGUCAUGAAAACAAAAACCUUCUGCUCAGACUAUAUUCCUCUCUUCACUAGUCAUGAUUCAUAAUUUAUAAAUGAGUGUACUAAAUGUAUUAUUACUGUGAAUUUAAACGUAGUGUUUUGCGUAUUAAACAAGUCAAAUGUUAAGUUAACGGACUUCAGAUAGUACACGAGCUUUAACGUUUGUUUACUCCGCAAUCAUGUUUCACCCCCGGUGUAUUUAUUUAAAUUCCGUGUAACACAACACAUCCCGAACACUAAGCGAAAAGAUUACACAACCGUCCCAAAUUUUCCGCUAGACGUCAGACUUUCGCUCUGUUUAUCGCUGCGAUGCUUCCGUCUCUCUCUCCCUCGCCUCCUCCCCUCCGUCUUCAGGCUCCGGAGGGAUUCUUGCAUAACAACCAUCCCAGAGUAUGGAAAAUGGACUAGUAAGGCCACUCACAAAAGCAACAAAGCAAACACAGAGUUUUAAAAGCA
Molecule: long non-coding RNA, 4238 nt
Organism: Ictalurus punctatus (channel catfish)
Lineage: Eukaryota; Metazoa; Chordata; Actinopteri; Siluriformes; Ictaluridae
Source: Ensembl